AAUGAACGUUGGCGGCGUGGAUUAGGCAUGCAAGUCGAGCGAGAAACUUUCUUUGAUCCUUCGGGUGAAAGAGAGCGGACAGCGGCGAAAGGGAGAGUAACGCGUAGAUCACGUACCCAGGGGUUCGGGAUAGCGGGGAAACCGCCGGUAAUACCGAUAAUGUCUCCGGACCAAAAUUUAUUGCCCUUGGAGCGGUCUGCGUCCUAUUAGCUUGUUGGUGUGAUAAAAGCGCACCAAGGCUAAGAUGGGUAGCGGGUGUGAGAGCAUGGCCCGUCUCACUGGGACUGAGACACUGCCCAGACACCUACGGGUGGCUGCAGUCGAGAAUCUUCCGCAAUGGACGAAAGUCUGACGGAGCGACGCCGCGUGCGGGAUGAAGGCCUUCGGGUUGUAAACCGCUGUCAGAGGGAGCAAAUUUUGAGCGAUCCUCAGAGGAAGCACAGGCUAAGUUCGUG
RNAcentral lists this ribosomal RNA (455 nucleotides) under uncultured bacterium. RNAcentral describes it as "bacterial SSU rRNA". It matches the Rfam family "Bacterial small subunit ribosomal RNA", at positions 29 to 507 of the family's 1533-position model. The record is from RNAcentral.